AACAUACUCCCUCCGUCCGAAAAUGGAUGUAUCUAGAACUAAAAUACAUCUAGAUGCAUCCCCUUUUAUUCAUUUUGAUGACAAGUAUUUCCGGACGGAGGGAGUAUUAA
Molecule: non-coding RNA, 110 nt
Organism: Triticum aestivum (bread wheat)
Lineage: Eukaryota; Viridiplantae; Streptophyta; Magnoliopsida; Poales; Poaceae
Source: Rfam